UCGCCGUCUUUGUAUACAUACCUCCAUGUGAUGAAACUUCUUUUUAGUGUGUGAGUGAUGCUUUACAUUAUGUGAAUAUUUAUACUCAAGAAAGUGCAUUAUACAGUUUUCGUUUCAAGAUGAUAAGCAGGCUGUACUAGGACAUAAUGGCACGGAUUCGGCACCACCACCCCAAGGAAAUUUCGUCAGUUGGGGAAACAAAAGGCGAAAUCUAAUGUAAAACGUGAACUGGAUGACUGAAGAAUAACCUGUCGGUUGGAAACCGAUAAAGACAUUGGCAGAAGAUGAGGCGCUACAUGUGGUGAAUCACGCUGGACGAGUGAGACCUGGUUGCGCCGCGACCGGACUCGAAACGGGCAGUUGUGGACGAAGCCGCCGGUCGCGAAGAGCUGCGGGUUCAGGAAGUGGCGGGCGUUAUCCAUGCGGUCGAGCAGGAAGAGCAGCGCCUUGCAGCCCAGCAGCGACAUGGUGCGGUCCUCCGCCGCUAUGACCACCAGCAGCGGCGGCAGCACCUCCUCCGUCAGCGUGUCCUGCCGGCCGGAACCCUGCAUCAGCUUCACUACACCGUGUAGGACGUCAGCAAGCUGUGUGCACACCGCUACCGACAGUUUGCCGGUAGCGAGGCUCUCGUUCA
This is a long non-coding RNA of Schistocerca serialis cubense, 634 nucleotides long. RefSeq lists it as uncharacterized. The transcript has 3 exons. NCBI's taxonomy places the organism in Eukaryota, Metazoa, Arthropoda, Insecta, Orthoptera, Acrididae. The record is from RefSeq and is a predicted model, not a curated record.